GAUGAAGAACGUAGCGAAAUGCGAUACGUAAUGUGAAUUGCAAAUUCAGUGAAUCAUCGAGUCUUUGAACGCACAUUGCGCCCCCUGGUAUUCCGGGGGGCAUGCCUGUCCGAGCGUCAUUGCUGCCCUCAAGCACGGCUUGUGUGUUGGGCCCCGUCCUCCGAUCCCGGGGGACGGGCCCGAAAGGCAGCGGCGGCACCGCGUCCGGUCCUCGAGCGUAUGGGGCUUUGUCACCCGCUCUGUAGGCCUGGCCGGCGCUUGCCGAUCAACCCAAAUUUUUAUCCAGGUUGACCUCGGAUCAGGUAGGGAUACCCGCUGAACUUAAGCAUAUCAAUAAGCGGAGGA
RNAcentral lists this unclassified non-coding RNA (345 nucleotides) under soil metagenome. RNAcentral's name for it is "partial contains 5.8S ribosomal RNA, internal transcribed spacer 2, and large subunit ribosomal RNA". The stretch from base 1 to 119 matches the Rfam family "5.8S ribosomal RNA", at positions 35 to 154 of the family's 154-position model. The record is from RNAcentral.